AACGGCCCACCAAGGCGACAACGGGUAGUUGGUCUGAGAGGAUGGUCAGCCACACUGGAACUGAGACACGGUCCAGACACCUACGGGUGGCAGCAAGCGAGAAUCAUUCGCAAUGGGGGAAACCCUGACUAUUUUUUUUCGCGUGGAGGAUGAAGGCCUUAUGGGUGUGAACUCCCGCCCCCCCCCAAUAAGCAAGUGAAAGUACCUCUAGAGGAAGGGGCGGCUAAUUCCGUGCCAGCAGCCGCGGUAACACGGAAGCCCCCGAGCGUUGUUCGGAUUCAUUGGGCGUAAAGGGUGCGUAGGCGGCGCGGAAAGUCCGGCGUGAAAGGCAGGGGCUCAACCUCUGGACUGCGUUGGAUACUUUCGUGCUUGAGGACUGGAGGGGAGACUGGAAUUCACGGUGUAGCAGUGAAAUGCGUAGAUAUCGUGAGGAAGACCGGUGGCGAAGGCGAGUCUCUGGACAGAUCCUGACGCUGAGGCACGAAGGCUGGGGGAGCGAACAGGAUUAGAUACCCUGGUAGUCCCAGCAGUAAACGAUGUGAGCUUGAUGUGGGGGGAUUCGACCCCUUCCGUGUCGAAGCUAACGCGAUAAGCUCACCGCCUGAGGAGUACGGCCGCAAGGCUAAAACUCAAAGAAAUUGACGGGGACCCGCACAAGCGGUGGAGUAUGUGGCUUAAUUCGAUGCAACGCGAAGAACCUUACCUGGCCUUGACAUGCAUUGUGUCGUCGGUGAAAGCCGGCUAGUCCUGGAAACAGGACGCUUUGCACAGGUGCUGCAUGGCUGUCGUCAGCUCGUGUCGUGAGAUGUUGGGUUAAGUCCCGCAACGAGCGCAACCCUUGUGGUCAGUUACUAACCGGCUUAGCCGGAGGACUCUGGCCAGACUGCCCUGUCAAACGGGGAGGAAGGUGGGGACGACGUCAAGCCAGUAUGGCCCUUAUGGCCAGGGCUGCACACGUACUACAAUGCCCGGUACAAUGUGAACCGAAACCGCGAGGUGGAGGAAAUCGCUCUUGAAAACCGGGCCCAGUUCGGAUUGGAGUCUGCAACUCGACUCCAUGAAGUCGGAAUCGCUAGUAAUGGCGUAUCAGCAACGACGCCGUGAAUACGUUCCCGGGUC
RNAcentral lists this ribosomal RNA (1119 nucleotides) under uncultured Verrucomicrobiota bacterium. Its description in RNAcentral is "bacterial SSU rRNA". It matches the Rfam family "Bacterial small subunit ribosomal RNA", at positions 259 to 1380 of the family's 1533-position model. The record is from RNAcentral. Lineage: Bacteria; Pseudomonadati; Verrucomicrobiota.